AAUAGCCUAACGGCUGAACCAGCAACUUGGAGGAACAUACGGCAAUAGCUGGUUGCAUUAACAAUUAGUUAUUACAACAUCGACUAUGUCGAAUAAAGUUCUAGGUAGAGUUAUGAUAAUGACAUUUUCUAUCUAUGUGUCUUGACCAAAUCACGUGCCAGCAGUCGCGGUAAUACGUGGAAGACUAGUGUUAUUCAUCUUUAAUUGGUUUAAAGGGUACCUAGACGGUCUAUUAAGCCCCUAAAGGGUACUUACAGACUAGAGUUUGAUGAGAGGGGGGAAGUACGAGAGAGUGUAGAGAUGAAAUUCUGUCAUACCUUACUUGGAACAGGCAACGGCGAAAGCAACUCCUUAUGUAAAAACUGACGUUGAAGGACGAAGGCUUGGGACACCAACAGGAUUAGAUACCCCAGCAGUCCUUGCAGACAAUGAUGAAUGUCAUAGAUUGGAAUUAAAUAUCUUUUUUUUUAAGAUAUCUUUUUGUCUAUAAAUGAAAGUGUAAGCAUUCCACCUCAAGAGUAAUGUGGCAACGCAGAAACUGAAAUCAUUAGACCGUUUCUGAAACCAGUAGUGAAGUAUGUUGUUUAAUUUGGUGGUCCGCAAAACACCUUACCACAAUUUGAAUAUUUUUAUAUUUAUAGAAAUACAAGCGUUGCACGGCUGUCUUCAGUUAAUGUCGUGAGAUUUUGGUUAGUUCCAUAAAAUUAACGUAAACCCUUACUUUAUUUUUAUUAUAGAGUAGUUCACCGCUAUAUUGGAUACGAUAAAAGGGAUCAAGACAAGUCAAUAUGGCCUUAAUAUUGUGGGCUAUAGACGUGCCACAUAGACCUUAACAAAGAGAUGCUAAAUUGCGAAAUUGAGCUAAUCUCAAAAAAUAGGAUAUAACAU
This 888-nucleotide ribosomal RNA is filed under the name Xylographa vitiligo. Its description in RNAcentral is "SSU rRNA". It matches the Rfam family "Bacterial small subunit ribosomal RNA", at positions 370 to 1294 of the family's 1533-position model. Lineage: Eukaryota; Fungi; Ascomycota; Lecanoromycetes; Baeomycetales; Xylographaceae. The record is from RNAcentral.